This 580-nucleotide ribosomal RNA is filed under the name uncultured bacterium. RNAcentral describes it as "bacterial SSU rRNA". It matches the Rfam family "Bacterial small subunit ribosomal RNA", at positions 265 to 842 of the family's 1533-position model. The record is from RNAcentral.
CCACCGUGGCGACGAUGCGUAGGGGUUCUGAGAGGAAGGUCCCCCACACUGGUACUGAGACACGGACCAGACUCCUACGGGAGGCAGCAGUGAGGAAUAUUGGUCAAUGGGAGAGAUCCUGAACCAGCCAAGCCGCGUGAGGGAAGACGGCCCUAUGGGUUGUAAACCUCUUUUGUCGGAGAACAAAACCCGGGACGAGUCCCGGACUGCGUGUAUCCGAAGAAAAAGCAUCGGCUAACUCCGUGCCAGCAGCCGCGGUAAUACGGAGGAUGCGAGCGUUAUCCGGAUUUAUUGGGUUUAAAGGGUGCGUAGGCGGUCCGUUAAGUCAGCGGUAAAAUUGCGGGGCUCAACCCCGUCGAGCCGUUGAAACUGGCAGACUUGAGUUGGCGAGAAGUACGCGGAAUGCGCGGUGUAGCGGUGAAAUGCAUAGAUAUCGCGCAGAACUCCGAUUGCGAAGGCAGCGUACCGGCGCCACACUGACGCUGAGGCACGAAAGCGUGGGGAUCGAACAGGAUUAGAUACCCUGGUAGUCCACGCAGUAAACGAUGAAUGCUGGUUGUCCGGGUCGAAUGAGAUCUGG